RNAcentral lists this long non-coding RNA (239 nucleotides) under Linum usitatissimum (flax). RNAcentral's name for it is "long non-coding RNA (LUSI_LNC005239)". Lineage: Eukaryota; Viridiplantae; Streptophyta; Magnoliopsida; Malpighiales; Linaceae. The record is from RNAcentral.
CAACUCGCAUGAAUCGUCAAACUCAAACAAUCAUCCGUUCAGAAACAAUUACCUAGGGUUCAUUUAAUCUAAACAUGAGGAGUUUAGCUACUAAUAACUUUGAAGAACAAAUCAAAAUCAGCAAAGGAACACAUUGGAACUAGGUUUACAAGAAGAAAUCCGAAAAACUAAUUUCGCCGAAAUCCGUCGAAAAAAUUGAUCUAAAUUAUGUCUUCCAAUCCGAGAUCCUUGAAGUGGAC